GAUGAACGCUAGCGGCAGGCCUAAUACAUGCAAGUCGAACGAACGCAAGUUAGUGGCGCACGGGUGCGUAACGCGUAUGCAACUUACCUUUCACAGGGGGAUAACUCGGGGAAACUCGGGCUAAUACCGCGUAAUAGAUUAAAUGGCAUCAUUUGAUUUUAAAAGAAUUAUCGGUGGAAGAUGGGCAUGCGUGUCAUUAGCUAGUUGGUGAGGUAAUGGCUCACCAAGGCAACGAUGACUAGGGGUUCUGAGAGGAAGAUCCCCCACACUGGUACUGAGAUACGGACCAGACUCCUACGGGAGGCAGCAGUAAGGAAUAUUGGGCAAUGGGCGAGAGCCUGACCCAGCCAUGCCGCGUGCAGGAUGACGGCCCUCUGGGUUGUAAACUGCUUUUAUCAAGGAAGAAAAAGGCUUUGCGAAGUCAACUGACGGUACUUGAUGAAUAAGCACCGGCUAACUACG
This 462-nucleotide ribosomal RNA is filed under the name uncultured Cytophagales bacterium. RNAcentral describes it as "bacterial SSU rRNA". It matches the Rfam family "Bacterial small subunit ribosomal RNA", at positions 28 to 505 of the family's 1533-position model. Lineage: Bacteria; Pseudomonadati; Bacteroidota; Sphingobacteriia; Sphingobacteriales. The record is from RNAcentral.